RNAcentral lists this ribosomal RNA (253 nucleotides) under uncultured bacterium. RNAcentral's name for it is "partial 16S ribosomal RNA". It matches the Rfam family "Bacterial small subunit ribosomal RNA", at positions 524 to 776 of the family's 1533-position model. The record is from RNAcentral.
UACGAAGGGGGCUAGCGUUGCUCGGAAUCACUGGGCGUAAAGGGUGCGUAGGCGGGUCUUUAAGUCAGGGGUGAAAUCCUGGAGCUCAACUCCAGAACUGCCUUUGAUACUGAAGAUCUUGAGUUCGGGAGAGGUGAGUGGAACUGCGAGUGUAGAGGUGAAAUUCGUAAAUAUUCGCAAGAACACCAGUGGCGAAGGCGGCUCACUGGCCCGAUACUGACGCUGAUGCACGAAAGCGUGGGGAGCAAACAGG